GACGAACGCUGGCGGCGUGCUUAACACAUGCAAGUCGAACGGAAAGGCCCUGCUUUUGUGGGGUGCUCGAGUGGCGAACGGGUGAGUAACACGUGAGUAACCUGCCCUUGACUUUGGGAUAACUUCAGGAAACUGGGGCUAAUACCGGAUAGGAGCUCCUGCUGCAUGGUGGGGGUUGGAAAGUUUCGGCGGUUGGGGAUGGACUCGCGGCUUAUCAGCUUGUUGGUGGGGUAGUGGCUUACCAAGGCUUUGACGGGUAGCCGGCCUGAGAGGGUGACCGGCCACAUUGGGACUGGAAUACGGCCCAGACUCCUACGGGAGGCAGCAGUGGGGAAUAUUGCACAAUGGGCGGAAGCCUGAUGCAGCAACGCCGCGUGCGGGAUGACGGCCUUCGGGUUGUAAACCGCUUUCGCCUGUGACGAAGCGUGAGUGACGGUAAUGGGUAAAGAAGCACCGGCUAACUACGUG
RNAcentral lists this ribosomal RNA (468 nucleotides) under uncultured bacterium. RNAcentral's name for it is "partial 16S ribosomal RNA". It matches the Rfam family "Bacterial small subunit ribosomal RNA", at positions 28 to 507 of the family's 1533-position model. The record is from RNAcentral.